UACGUAGGGUGCAAGCGUUAAUCGGAAUUACUGGGCGUAAAGCGUGCGCAGGCGGUUAUGCAAGACAGAUGUGAAAUCCCCGGGCUUAACCUGGGAACCGCAUUUGUGACUGCAUAGCUGGAGUACGGCAGAGGGAGAUGGAAUUCCGCGUGUAGCAGUGAAAUGCGUAGAUAUGCGGAGGAACACCGAUGGCGAAGGCAGUCCCCUGGGCCUGUACUGACGCUCAUGCACGAAAGCGUGGGGAGCAAACAGG
This 253-nucleotide ribosomal RNA is filed under the name uncultured bacterium. RNAcentral's name for it is "partial 16S ribosomal RNA". It matches the Rfam family "Bacterial small subunit ribosomal RNA", at positions 524 to 776 of the family's 1533-position model. The record is from RNAcentral.